This 1769-nucleotide long non-coding RNA is filed under the name Bos grunniens (domestic yak). RNAcentral describes it as "lncRNA (ENSBGRG00000001189.1)". Lineage: Eukaryota; Metazoa; Chordata; Mammalia; Artiodactyla; Bovidae. The record is from RNAcentral.
CCUAAUCUUGCUUAUCUAUAAUGCUUAGCCCCUUUAUAGACAUCUUCCUGAUGUCAAGCGUGACAAGAAAGUAAUUAAAAUGGAGAACUUCCCAUAUAUGUUUUAGAAAUGAAUUGGGAAGCCCUUGAAUCACUGGUCUUGCAUGAUCUAGCGCUUUACCACUCCCUGCUUUAAGGGGAGACUCUCUGUUUGGAAGUCUGAUCAGGUUGCAAUCUACAAAAUCACAGCUCUGGAAAGAACUCCCUAUUCGAUAUGCAUCCAUAGAGACAUGAGUAUAUUAUUCCUUCCAAAGUCAGCUGCAAUUGAAGCUCACUAAAUUGACUCCACAUCUUCCUAUCUCAGGCAGUGACAGAGGAAUAGCAAGUAUUUUUUACUAAAAUGCUCUUUUUUAACCAACCCCUUUUUUGAAGAUUUCUCUAUCAUUGAUGCAGAGGACAUGAUCUUUACUUCAUAGAAGAUGGCAGAACACCAGCAAAUCAGUGUUUGAGUCCAGGGGCUGCUGUCAGUGCAUCAAAUGCUUAUCCAGCAACUGUGUCUUUUGCCAGCAAUGUCAUGCAGAGUUGAGGACAGAAUUUAUUGUAAAUGUUGAAACCUUCUUGGCAAAAUAAUAUAAACCAGCAUCUGCAGCUCGAUGGACCUUUCAAGCCCUCCCAAGGGAGAGAGGAACUGUGGGAGAAAGCACACAGAAUGAUAUUCCCACUGACCUCUUCCAGGCGGGAUUGUCUCGGUCUCGAAUCUCCAGGAGAGACAGUUCUGCCUAUUGAUAAAUAGGCAUUCUCAGGCAGUUUUUGAGAAAAAAAACACUUUCACAGAUGAUCUUGUAAUUUUUUUGGAGAAAAGUUGCCCAAGAACACAUAACCAAAAAUAUAUAAAAAUGUUACAGAGGUUAAUGAUCCAGUCAGUGAGAUUUUGUGGUAUUUCUGAUUUGUAAUUUUUUGUCAGUUCACUACCCCUAUCCCAAAGAGAACACUAAGUUAAAAAGAAAAACUCAUCAAAAGCCCUUCAAAGAUUUAGGUGAGACCAUUUCAGCAGUUGUUUAGUGUGAUGGGGAAAAAAUGUCCUAUAGACAAAAAAGAAUUUUCAAAUAUAUGAGAUAUGACCUCAUUUUUUGAUCAAAGCAUGAUGAUGGAUACCUGACUUUCAAAGCCAAAAACUUACUUUUGUAAUAUUGCCCCAAAUUUUAAUUUAUGUAUAUUUAAUAAUAAACUCUGGGCUUCCCUGGUGGCUCAGCUGGUAAAGAAUCUGCCUGCAAUACAGGAGACCCCGAUUCAAUCCCUGGGUUGGGAAGAUUCCCGGGAGAAGGGCAUGGCAACCCACUCCAGUAUUCUUGCCUGCAGAAUUCUAUGGACAGAGUAGCCUGGCGGGCUACAGUCCAUGGAGUCACAAGGAGUUGGACAUGACUGAGUGACUAAGCACAGCGCAAUAAUCAACUCAUUUAGUUGUUUUGUGUUGCUUUAGUUGCUUUAUUUAGGUGACAGUGUUUUAGAGAACACAACAGAAGAUAGCAUUGCUCAAAACAAUACAUUCCGAAUACUUUAUUGAGUUGGUGUUAUGCAUACAGUUGAGUAUUUGAGUAUACUUACAGUAAAGAUUUCCAUGCUAAAAUUGUUGUAGUCAAAGUCUAGAAGAAGAACUUUGGGGCUUUAGUUGUCCAUGAAUUAAGAUAGAUAUAAAUUAUUUUCUAAAAAGAAUUUUCAUUCUGCUCAUUGGUAAUGCCUUGACUUCUGGUAAUCCUCUGCAUGGAAAUAGACCAGCUUUAUGUUCAUUUU